This 72-nucleotide transfer RNA is filed under the name Penicillium paxilli ATCC 26601. Its description in RNAcentral is "tRNA-Gly (CCC) (tRNA-Gly-CCC-1-1)". It matches the Rfam family "tRNA". From Rfam's summary of the family: Transfer RNA (tRNA) molecules are approximately 80 nucleotides in length. The record is from RNAcentral. Lineage: Eukaryota; Fungi; Ascomycota; Eurotiomycetes; Eurotiales; Aspergillaceae.
GCGCUGGUGAUCCAGUGGUUAAGAUACUGCUUUCCCAAAGCAGCUACCCGGGUUCGAAUCCCGGCCGGCGCA